CAACAAAUGCCAGCAGUACAAAUUCAUUAGUAUAUUAAAAGGAUAAGCCUCUAUGACCAAGUAGGAUUUCUCUUAGGAAUGCAAGGACAAUUCAACAUAUGAAAAUUAGUCAACAUCAAUGGAAUGUACUACAGCAACACAAUAAAGGAAAAAUUAACACAUGAUCAUCUCAUCUGAUGCAGAAAAAAACAUUUAACAGAAUUCAAAACCUUUCGUAAUAAAAACACUCAACAAACUAGGAAUUGGAAGAAGAAAAAAAUCUACCUCAACAUAAUCAAAGCCAUCAUGAAAAAUCAAAAGUGAACAUGACACCAAAUGAUUAAAGAUGGAAAGCUUUUUCUGUAAGGUCAGGAACAAGGAAAGUUUAUGUGCUUUUGCCAUUCUUUUCAACAUAGGAAAUUGUAGCCAGAGCAGUUAGGCAAGAAAGAAAUAAAUGGCAUCCAAUUUGUAAACGAAAAAGUUAAAUCAUCUCAGUUCACAAAUGGUGUGCUCUUACAUAUAAAAACCCUAAAGAUUUCACAAAUUCAGGAAAGUAGAAGGAUACAAAGUCAAUACACAAAUGUACAUUAUUUCUGUUCACUAGUAAUGAAUAAUCCCAAAGAAAAUUGAGAAAACAAUUCUACUUAACAAUUGCACCAAAAUAAAAUACUUAGGGAUUAACCAAGAAAGUUAAAUGCUUGUACAAUGAAAGCUACAAAAUACCGAAAUGAAGUACAGACAUAAAUGGAAAAACAUCUUGACUUAAUUUUGUUGACCCCCCAAAAAAACAUUCUACAAAUUUAAUGCAAUUAUUAUAAAAUAUAAGAGAGGACUCCUAAAAUUCAGCAAAAAAACCAAAAAACAAAGAAUUGAAUUCAAAGAUGGCCAAAAUACUUGAAUAGACAUUUCUCCAAAGAUGUAUGUAUAGCCAAUACACAUAUUAAAAGAUAUUCAACAUCACUAAUCAUUAUGGAAAUAUAAAUCAAAACUAUGAUAAUAUACCACCUCACACAUUUAGAUGGCUUAUUUAAACAAAAUGACAAAUAUCACCAAGUAUAUGGAUAAAUUCAACUUUUCUCACUUGAACUUUUCUAAUUUGAACUGUUCUGAUUUGAACUAAAUUAGAACUUUUCUGCACUAUGAUGGGAAUGUAAAAUGGCACAGCCAAUGAGAAGAAUAGAAUGGCAACUCCUCAAUAAAUUAAAAAUAGAAUUACCAUAUUAUCCAGCAAGCACACUUCUGGGUUUGCACCUCAAAGAACUGAAAGCAAGAUAUUGAAGAGGUGUUUGUACACUUAUGUUCAUAGUAACAUUCACAAUAGCCAAAAUGUGAAAGCAACCUAGGUAUAUAUUCACAGAUAACUCCAAAAACAAAAGGUGGUAUAUAGAUACAAUGGAAAAUUAUUCAGACUUAGGAAAAUCUGACAAAUGCUACAACAUGGGAUCCAAGCUGUAUUUGCGACCUACACCACAGCUCACAGCAACUUCCAGAUCCUUAAUCCACUGAGCAAGGCCAGGGAUCGAACCAAUAUCCUCGUGGAUACUAGUCGGGUUCGUUAACCACUGAACCAUGACAGGAACUCCUCUAUCUAGAUUUUGAAGUCUGAAAAGCAAGUGAGGUCUAUAAGCAUUGGAAAUGUUUGAGUCUCAAGAGUAAUUUUUUUUUUUUCUGGUGAAUUCACUCAUCAAAUAGUGGCUACAUAAAAUCAGUCAUGGCUCUGGAUAAGAUAUAAUAUAGAAUUGCAGUGCUAAAGAACAGAAGAAAUAGAUGAUCAAUACACUUUGAAAUGCUUCCUUUAGAAAUACUGAUUUUUUUUAAUCCUAGCCAGAAAAAUAUAUAUGUAUAUAAAUCUGAAUUCCCCAGUUUGGAAAGUUCCACAGUAGCCAGGUUUCCAAAUUUUCAUUUCUUUCUGUUUAGUUCUUUAUUGUACCAGUCAAGUGUUGUCAAAUACCAGGGAUUAACUUUUGGAAAAAAAAAUUAGAAACAAAGGGAAAAUUUUUAAUUUUCCAUCCUUGAUUAUUAAAAUUUUAUAAUUUUAAACUAUAAUAAAUAGUUUAAUGAUAGCUGUACUUUAAAAAAAAGGGGGCAGAGACAAAAUUAGUAGCCCCUUGCAUUCUCAGUCUAUGGCUGAAAAUUUUUAGUCAGAAGUCAAAGUCAGAUAUUUGAUCCAACAUUUUUAGAGAUGCUGAAUUCUUUAGAGAAUCCCAAAAGUGUACCAGUUUUACAUUUAUAGGCAUUGAAGAUAUUAGAGUCAUGGGAGUAUGAUCCAUUGUGAGUCUGGAAAUGUAAAUUCAGGAAUCUCUGCUUUCAAAGAUAAUUGCUAGAUUCUGAAGACCUGAUAUGAUCUUGUCCAAUGAAGUUCAAGAGCAUUCUUACAUUGUUUCUGAGGUUUUCCUUUGGUAAAGCUGCCUAGUCCUGCUGAUCAUAAAUUGCUAUAUAUUGAUCAUAAAAUAAACCUUUAAAAUAUGAUAGUCAGUUAUUGGACAUGUAAUUGUUAGUCUCACCAGGUAAGAGUUAAGAAAAUGAUGACCUAUGGUUUCUAGUCAGUGAAUUUUUAAUAGUCAAGGAAAUUAAGGAUGACAUUUUAGGUCAUGGCAGUUAAUCCUUCAAAUAAUUUUCCAAGCUUUAUUUGUUCUUUUAUCUUUGACUACUGCUAGAGGAUGAUAAAGACAAUGGAGUUUCUGGAUGAUGAGAGAUACCAUGUACAGCUCUUGUAAAAUAGGCACCUCUAUCUCUGACAAAAAGUUUGGUAAUGCACCAAGUUGAAAAUACAAAGUCUAGGAGGCUGGUCGUUGCUUGUUUUUGUUUUGUUUUGUUUUCUUUUUUUUGGUUUGCUAGUUGUUAGUAAAUAUAUUCAUUUGAAGGAGACAAUUGCAAAACUCCAUUUGUAAAUUUCAAAAUAAACCUUGAGGAUUUAGUUCUUGCUCAUUCUUAUCUUUUGCAGGUUGUACCUGAAUCAUACUAAGCAGUUUUGAGUAAAAUUUUCCUGGCUCUAUGAUUAUGAUAUGCCAACCAAUUUAUCUUUGCUGCAGUGGUCAAACUGAAUAGUUACGUUAAUAAACUACAUUAUUAAGUAUUUUAAUAAAUUCUUAUAAUAAAGUUUACUCUGGGAGUGAGAAUAUUAUAAAUUGUAUAGACAUAGACAAGCCCCUAUAGCAAUUUGAUUUACACUAAAAAUCAAACCUAUCACCAUGAUUGUACCUAUAGUCAUGUAUACUGAAUUUUAGACAAAAAAAAUCAUUUUGAUAUAGUUAUUAUGCAUGUCUUUAUGCUUAUAAAUGAGUCUAUUUUAAUCUGAGGACUUCAUCAUAUUUUGGAGGGGGAACACAAUUCAACCCAUAAGAGUCCGCUCUAUACCUUUCCCAAAAGUUAUGUCUUUCCCAUGUGCAAAAUACAUUUACUCCAUUAUGACAUUCUCAAAAAUUUUAACCCAUUUCAAUUUAACUCAAUAUACAAAAAUUUCAUCUAAAUAUAAUCAACUCAAACUCAUCUAAAUCAGAUAUGGGUGAGACACUGGGUAUGGUCCAUCUGGAUACAAAAUUUCUCGUCAUUUAUGAACUUGUGAUAUUAGAAAACAAGUUAUAUGCUUAUAAAAUACAACAUUGGCAUACUCAUUGGAUAGAUAUUUUCAUUCCAAAAGAUAGAAAUAAGAAGAAAAGGACACUCAGAUUCCAAGCAAGUCUUAAAACCAGCAGGACUCAUUGCAAGGCUUGGGAAGAAUCCUACGUGGCUCAAUUCUCUGUCCUAUAGGCUCUUGGCCCACGAUGGUGUCAGUCUUCCCCUCUUUGCCCCAGGAAGUACUAUCAGCACUGCCUCCUUCAUCAGUGGUCUGCCCUCAGGGUUUUUGUUUGUUUGUUUGUUUGUUUUGUCUUUUUAGGGCUGCACCUGCCCUGGAAGUUCCUAGGCUAGGGGUCGAAUUGGAGCUAUAGCUGCUGGCUUGUGGGCUUGCGCAGUAGCCACAGCAAUACCAGAUCCUUAAUCGACUGAGCAAGGCCAGAGAAUGAACCUGCAUUCUGAUGGAUACUAGUUAGAUUCGUCAUCACUAAGCCACACGAGAACUCCCCUCAAAAUCAUUCUUUAUUCUUUUCAUCCCAUCCCUGUGCUUAUCAGGCCAGUCUGGCAGUAUUUCUUCUGGCACAGUUCUCAAUUACCUUGUCAGUCUCCUGUGCAAUUCUUAAGAGUUCAGAUCAUCAAACAGGAAAGUUCUUCAUAUAUCUUUCUGAUUAAUGACAUCUAUAUUCCUUAAUCCUCUGUGAGAGUUGAUUUGAUCCACAAGUCAUAUAAUCUGUCUCAUUAGCAAUGAUUGUCCAGCCACAUUCUUAGGCCUAUGUCCAGAGCAUCCUAUCUGGACAGGAUGUGAAUUUUCCAACUAUCAAGUGCUUGCUUCUUUUUUUAUGAGUAGCAAUUCAUUUCUCAACUUGUUUCUUAUCUCUUGCAAUUUUACCAUAAACAGCAAGGAGAAUCCAGGUGGUACAGAACACAAUUUUCAGGCAAGCAUCCUUGGCUAAAUAUCCAAGAUCAUCAACCAUAAGUUUUACUUUCCACAAAAUAAUGGAGCAUAAUUCAGCCAAGUUCUUUGCCACUUGGUUCUAAGAAUCACCUUUCCUCCAGUUUCCAAAAACAUAGUCCUUAUUUCCAUCUGAGACAUCACCAGAAGUACCCUUACUGUCCAUAUCUCUAGUAGCACUCCAUUCGUGACAAUGUAUGUGCUUGUCUAAGAAAUGGAAACUUUGUAUGCAUUGCUCCUUACUUCUUUCUGAUUCCUCCUCAGAAUUUUCUUUGAUGGCCACAUUUCUAUCAACAAUUUCUUCAAGGAAAUCUGGCUUUUACUAUUAAAACCUGAACAACUACAUACAAUUAAUUUAUAUAAAUUUCAAAUACAGAGAAAACCAAAAUAUGUAUUAAUCUGUUAGAAAUCAUAAUAGUUGAUGGCGUUCCCAUCGUGGCACAGUGGGAACAAAUCCGACUAGGAACCACGACGUUGCGGGUUUGAUCCCUGGCCUUGUUCAGUGAGUUAAGUAUCUGACCUUGCUUUGAGCUGAAGUGUAGGUCGCAGACAUGGCUCGGAUCCCGAGUUGCUGUGGCUCUGGUGUAGGCCGGCAGCUACGUCUGCUAUUAGACCUCUUGCCUGGGAACCUCCAUAUGCUGCAGGUG
This 5133-nucleotide long non-coding RNA is filed under the name Sus scrofa (pig). RNAcentral describes it as "lncRNA (ENSSSCG00040075034.1)". The record is from RNAcentral. Lineage: Eukaryota; Metazoa; Chordata; Mammalia; Artiodactyla; Suidae.